Molecule: ribosomal RNA, 249 nt
Filed under: uncultured bacterium
Lineage: Bacteria
Description: partial 16S ribosomal RNA
Rfam family: Bacterial small subunit ribosomal RNA
Source: RNAcentral
CACGCCGUAAACGAUGGGUGCUAGGUGUCGCGGGCUUUGACUCCCGCGGUGCCGUAGCUAACGCAUUAAGCACCCCGCCUGGGAAGUACGGCCGCAAGGCUAAAACUCAAAGGAAUUGACGGGGGCCCGCACAAGCGGUGGAGCAUGUGGUUUAAUUCGACGCAACGCGAAGAACCUUACCUGGGCUAGAAAACGUAGGAACCUGGCAGAAAUGUCGGGGUGCUCUUCGGAGAAUCUAUGGUUAGGUGC